UACGUAGGGGGCAAGCGUUGUCCGGAUUUAUUGGGCGUAAAGAGCGUGUAGGCGGUUUGGUAGGUCCGCUGUGAAAACUCGAGGCUCAACCUCGAGACGCCGGUGGAAACCAUCAGGCUAGAGUCCGGAAGAGGAGAGUGGAAUUCCGGAUGUAGCGGUGGAAUGCGUAGAGAUCCGGAAGAACACCGGUGGCGAAGGCGGCCUGCUGGGCAGUUGCUGACGCUGAGGCGCGACAGCGUGGGGGAGCAAACAGG
This 254-nucleotide ribosomal RNA is filed under the name uncultured bacterium. RNAcentral describes it as "partial 16S ribosomal RNA". It matches the Rfam family "Bacterial small subunit ribosomal RNA", at positions 524 to 776 of the family's 1533-position model. The record is from RNAcentral.